RNAcentral lists this long non-coding RNA (199 nucleotides) under Malus domestica (apple). Its description in RNAcentral is "long non-coding RNA (MDOM_LNC008120)". The record is from RNAcentral. Lineage: Eukaryota; Viridiplantae; Streptophyta; Magnoliopsida; Rosales; Rosaceae.
ACAAGCUGAGGACUAUCCAGUUGUUAUGCAGUUCCUACCUUACAGCUGAGUUCUCGUUUGUUUCACUCAUUUUUCAAUGAGGAAUUUAAAAGUAAUCACAACUUGGCUCGGUUGCAUGUUUACAACAAUUAAUCACUCCUGCACUUCAAAAGAAGACUACGCCCUUCUUAGGGACUCAUCGCAGGAAUUACGCCCCCCG